RNAcentral lists this ribosomal RNA (497 nucleotides) under uncultured bacterium. RNAcentral's name for it is "partial 16S ribosomal RNA". It matches the Rfam family "Bacterial small subunit ribosomal RNA", at positions 28 to 507 of the family's 1533-position model. The record is from RNAcentral.
GAUGAACGCUGGCGGCGUGCCUAAUACAUGCAAGUCGAGCGAACAGACGAGGAGCUUGCUCCUCUGACGUUAGCGGCGGACGGGUGAGUAACACGUGGAUAACCUACCUAUAAGACUGGGAUAACUUCGGGAAACCGGAGCUAAUACCGGAUAAUAUAUUGAACCGCAUGGUUCAAUAGUGAAAGACGGUUUAGCUGUCACUUAUAGAUGGAUCCGCGCCGCAUUAGCUAGUUGGUAAGGUAACGGCUUACCAAGGCAACGAUGCGUAGCCGACCUGAAAGGGUGCUAGGCCACACUGUAACUGAGACACGGUCCAGACUCCUACGGGAGGCAGCAGUAGGGAAUCUUCCGCAAUGGGCGAAAGCUUGACGGAGCAGCGCCGCGUGAGUGAUGAAGGUCUUCGGAUCGUAAAACUCUGUUAUUAGGGAAGAACAAAUGUGUAAGUAACUAUGCGCGUCUUGACGUUACCUAAUCAGAAAGCCACGGCUAACUACGUG